RNAcentral lists this long non-coding RNA (345 nucleotides) under Zonotrichia albicollis (white-throated sparrow). RNAcentral's name for it is "lncRNA (ENSZALG00000004036.1)". The record is from RNAcentral. Lineage: Eukaryota; Metazoa; Chordata; Aves; Passeriformes; Passerellidae.
AUGAGCUUAACAUCUCGAGGGACUGGGAGCCACCAGAGGAUGCACAAGAGAAGCCUCAGCAACUGCCUCUGCUUGCCUAAGAAUUCAAAAGCAAAGCUGAAGAGGUUUCCAGUUGGAUCUACAGGAGAAGACCUGAACUCCACUGGGACACUGGGCUGCAGGCGCAAAUGCCUAGAGAAUUACUGCAGUGCCUCUGUGUUGCUCCAUCCUUUGUUCCAUGUGUCCCUUGGAGUGGCACACCAAGCUCCAUCAGCAUUCCUGCUUCUAAGUGUGGGGGAGAGUGGAUCCAUGAUGGUGGUAGGACUUCAGGCCCUUGGAGGUACCAGGUUUCAUCCCAGUAUCUGA